This 527-nucleotide ribosomal RNA is filed under the name Saccharomyces sp. RNAcentral's name for it is "partial large subunit ribosomal RNA". It matches the Rfam family "Eukaryotic large subunit ribosomal RNA", at positions 115 to 656 of the family's 3401-position model. Lineage: Eukaryota; Fungi; Ascomycota; Saccharomycetes; Saccharomycetales; Saccharomycetaceae. The record is from RNAcentral.
UUGAAAUCUGGUACCUUCGGUGCCCGAGUUGUAAUUUGGAGAGGGCAACUUUGGGGCCGUUCCUUGUCUAUGUUCCUUGGAACAGGACGUCAUAGAGGGUGAGAAUCCCGUGUGGCGAGGAGUGCGGUUCUUUGUAAAGUGCCUUCGAAGAGUCGAGUUGUUUGGGAAUGCAGCUCUAAGUGGGUGGUAAAUUCCAUCUAAAGCUAAAUAUUGGCGAGAGACCGAUAGCGAACAAGUACAGUGAUGGAAAGAUGAAAAGAACUUUGAAAAGAGAGUGAAAAAGUACGUGAAAUUGUUGAAAGGGAAGGGCAUUUGAUCAGACAUGGUGUUUUGUGCCCUCUGCUCCUUGUGGGUAGGGGAAUCUCGCAUUUCACUGGGCCAGCAUCAGUUUUGGUGGCAGGAUAAAUCCAUAGGAAUGUAGCUUGCCUCGGUAAGUAUUAUAGCCUGUGGGAAUACUGCCAGCUGGGACUGAGGACUGCGACGUAAGUCAAGGAUGCUGGCAUAAUGGUUAUAUGCCGCCCGUCUGA